CAGUCGCCGCGGUAAUACGUAGGGUGCGAGCGUUAAUCGGAAUUACUGGGCGUAAAGCGUGCGCAGGCGGUUCGUUAAGACAGAUGUGAAAUCCCCGGGCUUAACCUGGGAAUGGCAAUGGAUACUGGCGAGCUAGAGUGUGUCAGAGGAUGGUGGAAUUCCCGGUGUAGCGGUGAAAUGCGUAGAGAUCGGGAGGAACAUCAGUGGCGAAGGCGGCCAUCUGGGACAACACUGACGCUGAGGCACGAAAGCGUGGGGAGCAAACAGGAUUAGAUACCCCGGUAGUCCCUGUCUCUUAUAA
RNAcentral lists this ribosomal RNA (301 nucleotides) under uncultured bacterium. RNAcentral describes it as "partial 16S ribosomal RNA". It matches the Rfam family "Bacterial small subunit ribosomal RNA", at positions 509 to 809 of the family's 1533-position model. The record is from RNAcentral.